This 391-nucleotide unclassified non-coding RNA is filed under the name soil metagenome. RNAcentral's name for it is "partial contains 5.8S ribosomal RNA, internal transcribed spacer 2, and large subunit ribosomal RNA". The stretch from base 1 to 122 matches the Rfam family "5.8S ribosomal RNA", at positions 35 to 154 of the family's 154-position model. The record is from RNAcentral.
GAUGAAGAACGUAGCGAAAUGCAAUACUUGGUGUGAAUUGCAGAAUCCCGUGAACCAUCGAGUCUUUGAACGCAAGUUGCGCCCGAAGCCAUUAGGCCGAGGGCACGCCUGCCUGGGCGUCACACGUCGUUGCCCCCCCAUCUACUCCUUCGGGAUUGCGGGGGGCGGAUGAUGGCCUCCCGUGCGCCUCGUCGCGCGGUUGGCAUAAAUACCAAGUCCUCGGCGACGCACGCCACGACAAUCGGUGGUUGCGAAACCUCGGUUGCCCGUCGUGUGCGGUCGUCGCGCAUCGAGGGCUCGAAAAAAUUGCCGGGCUCCGGCUCGGCUUUCAACGCGACCCCAGGUCAGGCGGGGUUACCCGCUGAAUUUAAGCAUAUCAAUAAGCGGAGGA